CCAGCAACCAGAUGGUGACCUGCUAUGGACAUCUUGGAAUGCUCUCUGGAGGAAGCCUCAGAGGGAUACCAGAUAGCCGUGACCCUGAAUCCAGUCUCAGCUCACACCCGAAUCCUGGUGUCAGUGGAUGGCUGGACUGCAGGCCACUGGGAAUCACCCCCAGCUCCUCCACCCUCAGGAAUGGAGUGUUUUGAGUGUCUCUGCUGUGUUUUGGGUCA
Non-coding RNA from Lonchura striata (white-rumped munia), 218 nucleotides. The record is from RefSeq and is a predicted model, not a curated record. NCBI's taxonomy places the organism in Eukaryota, Metazoa, Chordata, Aves, Passeriformes, Estrildidae.